Molecule: ribosomal RNA, 433 nt
Filed under: uncultured bacterium
Lineage: Bacteria
Description: partial 16S ribosomal RNA
Rfam family: Bacterial small subunit ribosomal RNA
Source: RNAcentral
AACGAACGCUGGCGGCAUGCCUAACACAUGCAAGUCGAACGAGACCUUCGGGUCUAUGGGCGCACGGGUGCGUAACGCGAGGGAACCUGCCCUUAGGGUCGGAAUAACUCCCCGAAAGGGGUGCUAAUACCGGAUAAUGUCUUCGGACCAAAGAUUUAUCGCCUUUGGAUGGGCCCGAGUGGGAUUAGGUAUUUGGUAGGGUAAAAGCCUACCAAGGCGACGAUCCAUAGCUGGUCUGUGAGGAUGAUCACCCACUCCUGGACUGGGACACGGCCGAGACUCCUCCGCGAGGCAGCAGUGCGGAAUAUUGCAACAUCGCCGGAAGGAUGAUCCAGCACUGCCGGUUGAGUGCUGAAAGCAUUAGGGUUGUAAAGUUCUAUUAACCGGGCUCAUCAUGACAGUACCGGGACAAUAAGCUCCGGCUAACUCCGUG